Pogoniulus pusillus (Red-fronted tinkerbird) is the source of this 571-nucleotide long non-coding RNA. RefSeq lists it as uncharacterized. The transcript is spliced from 2 exons. NCBI's taxonomy places the organism in Eukaryota, Metazoa, Chordata, Aves, Piciformes, Lybiidae. The record is from RefSeq and is a predicted model, not a curated record.
CUUCAAAUCACUCUACGGAAAGCGUGCUGUCUUUUUGACUCAGGAGAACGGAUGACACCUUUGUAAGGCUGCAUUAACUGACUGACCAGGGCCUUGCCAUUACCGAAUGACUUCACACAGUUUUCCCAUUUAGCCCACUCUGCCACCUCUUUUCCUCCUCCGGCGCAGGCGGUUUACAAGAGCCUGGGGAGAAGGGCAAUUACCUGAGGGGCUACAGACAGGGCGCUCUGGCCUCAGGGGCCAACGGCUAGGGUGAGAAUUGGACACGGAGGAUAACGGCCAAGUCUUGCCCCGAACGCCAGCGGCUGCUGGGGUCGAAGACGAGCGAACAGUUAAGCCAGCUCCAUCCAGCUCUGUGACCAGGAAUUAACCUCCCGCAAUAAAACCGCCCGUUAAAUGAUUACGGUUUACUAGGUCUUUAAAAUCGGGGGAAGAAAAACUCGUGCUGUAUGAAGGUUACAUAUAUAUCUUAUUUUUUUAAAUUAUCGUUAAAAAGGAACUAAACGUAAUUAUUUUUCUUUCCCCUCUGGUUGGCACACACUCCCCAGCUACGAUUUCCUGAAGUCUCCAA